CGAUGGGGUAGAGGCGCAGGAUUCAAGAGUAAGCUAUGUGAGGAUGACAACAGAGAGCAUGGCCGAAAGGGGAAACUGCCGAAGCAAGUUGAUUAGUCAAAAAUGAAUUUGCUGGGGUUGUUUUAAAUAAAAGCAACACUGUCAUUAUAAGAGGUUCUUAUAAUGAGGAGCUACAGGUCGU
RNAcentral lists this non-coding RNA (181 nucleotides) under Bacillus sp. (in: firmicutes). RNAcentral's name for it is "Bacillus sp. Lysine sequence". It matches the Rfam family "Lysine riboswitch aptamer". From Rfam's summary of the family: Riboswitches are metabolite binding domains within certain messenger RNAs that serve as precision sensors for their corresponding targets. Allosteric rearrangement of mRNA structure is mediated by ligand binding, and this results in modulation of gene expression. The record is from RNAcentral. Lineage: Bacteria; Bacillati; Bacillota; Bacilli; Caryophanales; Bacillaceae. RNAcentral also lists the same sequence under 1 other name.